This 445-nucleotide ribosomal RNA is filed under the name uncultured bacterium. RNAcentral describes it as "bacterial SSU rRNA". It matches the Rfam family "Bacterial small subunit ribosomal RNA", at positions 354 to 796 of the family's 1533-position model. The record is from RNAcentral.
GUGAGGAAUAUUGGGCAAUGCCCGCAAGGGUGACCCAGCAACGCCGCGUGGAGGAUGAAGGCCGUAAGGUUGUAAACUCCUGUUAGAGGAGAAGAAUAGUACCGAUUGGAUCGGUAUUUGACUGUACCCUCAGAGAAAGCCCCGGCUAACUACGUGCCAGCAGCCGCGGUAAUACGUAGGGGGCAAGCGUUGUCCGGAUUUACUGGGUGUAAAGGGCGCGCAGGCGGGAUAGCAAGUCAGAGGUGAAAUCCUACAGCUUAACUGUAGAACUGCCUUUGAUACUGUUAUUCUUGAGUUCGGGAGAGAGAGACGGAAUUCCAGGUGUAGUGGUGAAAUACGUAGAUAUCUGGAAGAACACCAGUUGCGAAGGCGGUCUCUUGGUCCGAUACUGACGCUGAGGCGCGAAAGCGUGGGGAGCAAACAGGAUUAGAUACCCUAGUAGUCC